GUUUAAGUCUCUUUUUCGAUUUUCUCCCCCUUUCAUUUGGACAAUCAUAUUAAGGCACUUGAAACCAUUAAUAUCCUCACAUGCACAAGAUUGAUUGAGAAUUUUUUUCUAGGCACCUUUUUACUAUUUUUUCUCUUUUUUGAUGAAUUUAGACACGUUGGUGUUUAUUGGUCCACUUUGGGAUGACAUUUGAGAAACAACCUCCAUUAGGCUAAAUAACCAGGUGAGGAUUACCCAACUUAGAAGUCCUAUUGUCU
Molecule: long non-coding RNA, 257 nt
Filed under: Lathyrus oleraceus (garden pea)
Lineage: Eukaryota; Viridiplantae; Streptophyta; Magnoliopsida; Fabales; Fabaceae
Description: Pisum sativum (pea) long non-coding RNA (PSAT_LNC006295)
Source: RNAcentral